RNAcentral lists this ribosomal RNA (515 nucleotides) under uncultured bacterium. Its description in RNAcentral is "partial 16S ribosomal RNA". It matches the Rfam family "Bacterial small subunit ribosomal RNA", at positions 28 to 523 of the family's 1533-position model. The record is from RNAcentral.
GACGAACGCUGGCGGCGUGCCUAAUACAUGCAAGUCGAGCGGACUUUCAAGAAGCUUGCUUUUUGAAAGUUAGCGGCGGACGGGUGAAUAACACGUGGGCAACCUGCCUGUAAGACGGGGAUAACUCCGGGAAACCGGGGCUAAUACCGGAUAAUAUCUUUCUUCGCAUGAAGGAAGGUUGAAAGGCGGCGCAAGCUGCCGCUUGCAGAUGGGCCCGCGGCGCAUUAGCUAGUUGGUGAGGUAACGGCCCACCAAGGCGACGAUGCGUAGCCGACCGGAGAGGGGGAUCGGCCACACUGGGACUGAGACACGGCCCAGACUCCUACGGGAGGCAGCAGUAGGGAAUCUUCCGCAAGGGACGAAAGUCUGACGGAGCAACGCCGCGUGAGCGAAGAAGGUCUUCGGAUCGUAAAGCUCUGUUGUCAGGGAAGAACAAGUACCGUUCGAAUAGGGCGGUACCUUGACGGUACCUGACCAGAAAGCCACGGCUAACUACGUGCCAGCAGCCGCCGUAA